UGGGGAAUAUUGGACAAUGGGGGGAACCCUGAUCCAGCCAUGCCGCGUGUGUGAAGAAGGCCUUAUGGUUGUAAAGCACUUUAAGCGAGGAGGAGGGUACUGGUAUUAAUACUACCAGGUACUGGACGUUACUCGCAGAAUAAGCACCGGCUAACUCGGUGCCAGCAGCCGCGGUAAUACAGAGGGUGCGAGCGUUAAUCGGAUUUACUGGGCGUAAAGCGUGCGUAGGUGGUUCGUUAAGUUGAAUGUGAAAGCCCCGGGCUCAACCUGGGAACUGCAUCCAAAACUGGCGAGCUAGAGUAGGGCAGAGGGUGGUGGAAUUUCCUGUGUAGCGGUGAAAUGCGUAGAUAUAGGAAGGAACACCAGUGGCGAAGGCGACCACCUGGGCUCAUACUGACACUGAGGUGCGAAAGCGUGGGGAGCAAACAGG
Molecule: ribosomal RNA, 430 nt
Filed under: Pseudomonadota bacterium
Lineage: Bacteria; Pseudomonadati; Pseudomonadota
Description: Proteobacteria bacterium partial 16S ribosomal RNA
Rfam family: Bacterial small subunit ribosomal RNA
Source: RNAcentral